CUACGGGAGGCAGCAGUAGGGAAUUUUGGACAAUGGGCGCAAGCCUGAUCCAGCAAUGCCGCGUGAGUGAAGAAGGCCUUCGGGUUGUAAAGCUCUUUUGUCAGGGAAGAGACGGUGUUUUCUAAUACAGAAUACUAAUGACGGUACCUGAAGAAUAAGCACCGGCUAACUACGUGCCAGCAGCCGCGGUAAUACGUAGGGUGCAAGCGUUAAUCGGAAUUACUGGGCGUAAAGCGUGCGCAGGCGGUUUUGUAAGUCUGACGUGAAAUCCCCGGGCUCAACCUGGGAAUUGCGUUGGAGACUGCAAGGCUAGAGUUUGGCAGAGGGGGGUAGAAUUCCACGUGUAGCAGUGAAAUGCGUAGAUAUGUGGAGGAACACCGAUGGCGAAGGCAGCCCCCUGGGUCAAGACUGACGCUCAUGCACGAAAGCGUGGGGAGCAAACAGGAUUAGAUACCCGUGUAGUCCG
This 466-nucleotide ribosomal RNA is filed under the name uncultured bacterium. RNAcentral describes it as "bacterial SSU rRNA". It matches the Rfam family "Bacterial small subunit ribosomal RNA", at positions 339 to 797 of the family's 1533-position model. The record is from RNAcentral.